GGACUGUGGCUCAGUGGUAAAGCACUCGCCUCGCACGUGCGAGACACUGGGUUCAAUCCUCAGCACCA
Molecule: transfer RNA, 68 nt
Filed under: Marmota monax (woodchuck)
Lineage: Eukaryota; Metazoa; Chordata; Mammalia; Rodentia; Sciuridae
Description: tRNA.Ala
Source: RNAcentral